This 145-nucleotide non-coding RNA is filed under the name Rhodospirillales bacterium. Its description in RNAcentral is "FMN sequence". It matches the Rfam family "FMN riboswitch aptamer (RFN element)". Rfam says of the family: The RFN element is a highly conserved domain that is found frequently in the 5'-untranslated regions of prokaryotic mRNAs that encode for flavin mononucleotide (FMN) biosynthesis and transport proteins. This element is a metabolite-dependent riboswitch that directly binds FMN in the absence of proteins. In Bacillus subtilis, the riboswitch most likely controls gene expression by causing premature transcription termination within the 5' untranslated region of the ribDEAHT operon and precluding access to the ribosome-binding site of ypaA mRNA. The record is from RNAcentral. Lineage: Bacteria; Pseudomonadati; Pseudomonadota; Alphaproteobacteria; Rhodospirillales.
CGGGGUUCUCAGGGCGGGGCGGAAAUCCCCACCGGCGGUAUGCAAUUCACGUUGCGAGCCCGCGAGCGCCUUCCGAUGGAAGGGUCGAGCAGAUCAGGUGAGAUGCCUGAGCCGACGGUCAUAGUCCGGAUGAAAGAGAACGGGU